Molecule: ribosomal RNA, 115 nt
Organism: Danio rerio (zebrafish)
Lineage: Eukaryota; Metazoa; Chordata; Actinopteri; Cypriniformes; Danionidae
Source: Ensembl
GCCGGCAGCUAGCUCUCUGCAACUCUCACAUGGUCGCCCACUGAAGCUAAGCAGGGCUGCGCCCGGUCAGUACCUGGAUGGGAGACCACAUGGGAAAGCUAGGUUGCUGCCGGAA